This 510-nucleotide ribosomal RNA is filed under the name uncultured bacterium. RNAcentral's name for it is "partial 16S ribosomal RNA". It matches the Rfam family "Bacterial small subunit ribosomal RNA", at positions 28 to 507 of the family's 1533-position model. The record is from RNAcentral.
GACGAACGCUGGCGGCGUGCUUAACACAUUCAAGUCGAACGAAGAGCGAUGGAAGCUUGCUUCUAUCAAUCUUAGUGGCGAACGGGUGAGUAACGCGUAAUCAACCUGCCCUUCAGAGGGGGACAACAGUUGGAAACGACUGCUAAUACCGCAUACGAUCUAAUCUCGGCAUCGAGGAUAGAUGAAAGGUGGCCUCUACAUGUAAGCUAUCACUGAAGGAGGGGAUUGCGUCUGAUUAGCUAGUUGGAGGGGUAACGGCCCACCAAGGCGAUGAUCAGUAGCCGGUCUGAGAGGAUGAACGGCCACAUUGGGACUGAGACACGGCCCAGACUCCUACGGGAGGCAGCAGUGGGGAAUCUUCCGCAAUGGACGAAAGUCUGACGGAGCAACGCCGCGUGAGUGAUGACGGCCUUCGGGUUGUAAAGCUCUGUUAAUCGGGACGAAAGGCCUUCUUGCGAAUAGUGAGAAGGAUUGACGGUACCGGAAUAGAAAGCCACGGCUAACUACGUG